This 96-nucleotide transfer RNA is filed under the name Neurospora crassa. RNAcentral describes it as "tRNA-Ile". RNAcentral also lists the same sequence under 2 other names. The record is from RNAcentral. Lineage: Eukaryota; Fungi; Ascomycota; Sordariomycetes; Sordariales; Sordariaceae.
GCCCGAUUAGCUCAGCUGGUUAGAGCGUCGUACUAAUAUCAGAUUUCUGAUAUCAAGUCCAUGCGAAGGUCAACAGUUCAAUCCUGUUAUUGGGCA